This 1248-nucleotide long non-coding RNA is filed under the name Equus asinus (donkey). Its description in RNAcentral is "lncRNA (ENSEASG00005026018.1)". The record is from RNAcentral. Lineage: Eukaryota; Metazoa; Chordata; Mammalia; Perissodactyla; Equidae.
CGGCAGUCAGCUGGGCAGGAGGGCGGCCAGUCCCGGCCAGGAGCUGGUGCUGCGGCUGGGCCCUGUGCAAGAGAGGCGGGCCGACCUCGGCGGCAUCCGGUCUGCACUCCUUCCGUGGCCUGCGGCUCUUCUCAGAAAAACACCCACAGGCACCAGCACCAUGGGCUGCACACAAUUUUACACUCCCUCCCAACAAGCCCGUCUGCGGGCCCCUGGGGGUUAAGACGCUUCAUUUUACAGGAUGGAGAAACGAGGCUGAGACAGACUUGUCCAAGUCCCCCCAGUGUGUCAGGCGCUGGGCAAGGACUAAAGGCCAGAUGUCUGCGUGCACACAGUCAGCACUUGUCGAGCGCUUACUACCAACCAGGCACUGCGCAAGGAAAGUUCUUCCUCUGAAAACAGUUAAGCAUCUCCCUGUGAGGCCUCUCAAGCUGCACAACCCCCAGAUCACUGGCUGUUCCCCCUGGGCUGAAGGCUUCUGGUCUCCUGAACAAGCCCACACACAGAGCUGCACAGGCUGCCUCCACUCACCUCUCACUUCGCUUCCUCCUAGUCCAUGUGAAACAUUGGCAAACUGCCCAUGGCCACUUCUUUCCUGAAGGGUAAGGACUGAUGCAGCCUGGAGCCAUGGUGGCCAUAGAUGCCUGUCCUUCUCUGCUGGUUCGUUCCUUGUAUCAUAUAAACAUGGGUUGUGUCUAGGUCAUUCUAAUUAAAACCGCCUGCUUCUACAUCAGGCUCUCCUCUGGCUACUUUCUCAACUCCAGAUCAAAUUGCUUGUAUCUGUCUGUCCUCCUUGCCCUCUUUGCACCAGGGGGUACGGCUGGAACAUUCCUCUCUCUUGGUUUCAGCAGUGGUGCACUCUUCUGGUUUCCCCCUUCUUUGACCAUUUCUUCUCAGUUGCCUCUUCUCUGCUUCCUUUUAAAUGUUUCCAUUCCCUAGGGCUCCAGUUUUAGCCAUCUGCUUAUUCCAUUUUACCUCAGUGGUUCAUAAUUUAGGGGGGAGGGUGUAUCUUCUCCCCUUUGAGAAUUGGCAAUGGCUGCGGAUCUACUCCACAGUGCAUGGAGUGGGGGAAAAACCCACAUUUAUCCAAACACAACAUUUUGUAUACAAUUCCAGGUCCUUAACCUGAAGCCUGUUCUUCCUGCAUGAUUUCAUUCCCAUCCCCAGCUUCUUCCCAGUCUUUCUCCCAGGCCUAUAGCUCUGUUGCCUCUCAGACUAACAGAUCAAUAGUCUCCUGGGCAUUUUCAU